UAUUGCGCAAUGGGGGAAACCCUGAUGCAGCGACGCCGCGUGGAGGAAGAAGGUCUUCGGAUUGUAAACUCCUGUUGUUGAGGAGGAUNAUGACGGUACUCAACAAGGAAGUGACGGCUAACUACGUGCAAGCAGCCGCGGUAAGACGUAGGUCACAAGCGCUGUCCGGAAUUACUGGGUGUAAAGGGAGCGCAGGCGGGAAGACAAGUUGGAAGUGAAAUCCAUGGGCUCAACCCAUGAACUGCGUUCAAAACUGUUUUUCUUGAGUGGUGCAGAGGUAGGCGGAAUUCCCGGUGUAGCGGUGGAAUGCGUAGAUAUCGGGAGGAACACCAGUGGCGAAGGCGGCCUACUGGGCACCAACUGACGCUGAGGCUCGAAAGUGUGGGUAUCAAACAGG
RNAcentral lists this ribosomal RNA (397 nucleotides) under uncultured bacterium. RNAcentral describes it as "bacterial SSU rRNA". It matches the Rfam family "Bacterial small subunit ribosomal RNA", at positions 362 to 776 of the family's 1533-position model. The record is from RNAcentral.